AGUAUAAGCAAUUAUACAGCGAAACUGCGAAUGGCUCAUUAUAUAAGUUAUCGUUUAUUUGAUAGUACCUUACUACUUGGAUAACCGUGGUAAUUCUAGAGCUAAUACAUGCUAAAAAUCCCGACUUCGGAAGGGAUGUAUUUAUUAGAUUAAAAACCAAUGCCCUCUGGGCUCCUUGGUGAUUCAUAAUAACUUUUCGAAUCGCAUGGCCUUGCGCCGGCGAUGGUUCAUUCAAAUUUCUUCCCUAUCAACUUUCGAUGUUUGGGUAUUGGCCAAACAUGGUCGCAACGGGUAACGGAGGGUUAGGGCUCGACCCCGGAGAAGGAGCCUGAGAAACGGCUACUACAUCCAAGGAAGGCAGCAGGCGCGCAAAUUACCCAAUCCCGAUUCGGGGAGGUAGUGACAAUAAAUACUGAUACAGGGCUCUUUUGGGUCUUGUAAUUGGAAUGAGUACAAUUUAAAUCCCUUAACGAGGAACAAUUGGAGGGCAAGUCUGGUGCCAGCAGCCGCGGUAAUUCCAGCUCCAAUAGCGUAUAUUAAAGUUGUUGUGGUUAAAAAGCUCGUAGUUGAACCUUGGGCCUGGCUGGCCGGUCCGCCUCACCGCGUGUACUGGUCCGGCCGGGCCUUUCCCUCUGUGGAACCUCAUGCCCUUCACUGGGUGUGGCGGGGAAACAGGACUUUUACUUUGAAAAAAUUAGAGUGCUCCAGGCAGGCCUAUGCUCGAAUACAUUAGCAUGGAAUAAUAAAAUAGGACGUGUGGUUCUAUUUUGUUGGUUUCUAGGACCGCCGUAAUGAUUAAUAGGGACAGUCGGGGGCAUCAGUAUUCAAUUGUCAGAGGUGAAAUUCUUGGAUUUAUUGAAGACUAACUACUGCGAAAGCAUUUGCCAAGGAUGUUUUCAUUAAUCAGGAACGAAAGUUAGGGGAUCGAAGACGAUCAGAUACCGUCGUAGUCUUAACCAUAAACUAUGCCGACUAGGGAUCGGACGAUGUUAUUUUUUGACGCGUUCGGCACCUUACGAGAAAUCAAAGUGCUUGGGCUCC
Molecule: ribosomal RNA, 1041 nt
Filed under: Cordyceps javanica
Lineage: Eukaryota; Fungi; Ascomycota; Sordariomycetes; Hypocreales; Cordycipitaceae
Description: SSU rRNA
Rfam family: Eukaryotic small subunit ribosomal RNA
Source: RNAcentral